CCGCGGCAGUGAUGAUACAAACCUUCAGCUUGCAUGCCAGUUCUGCUUCUGAGAAUUCAUGACUGAGAAAGCUGAGAUAGAUCUGAGCCUUGA
Molecule: non-coding RNA, 93 nt
Organism: Triticum aestivum (bread wheat)
Lineage: Eukaryota; Viridiplantae; Streptophyta; Magnoliopsida; Poales; Poaceae
Source: Rfam